GGGGUGCAGCCGCCAGUCUAGGUAUCCGGGAGUGCUGCAACUAGACAGACUCGGGACGAGCGAGGUCGCCGGAAGGGUGCUACCGCCAGUCUCGGUCUCCUGGAGGGAGUACCGUAACGAGACGAGGUACGGCAAGACGCAGCCGCCGGCGGUACCUGUCUAGCCUGUAAGCCUGUGCUGCGCAGGGGUCAAGGUCGCCCUAGCCCUUCCUUCUCCUGCCGCUAGAUGCCUCAUGUCGACUUCGAGUACAAGAGGACAACAAGAAGUGAGAAAAAAAAGGGAAACGAGUGUGCUCGGCAUGUAUCGGGCAACGAAGUUGACGACACGUCGGGUUACGAACUUUACCGGGUGUGACAAAUAGAAGAGGCAAAGGUAUUGAUGGAGGAUUUUUCUUUUUUUAGACGACGUCCAUUAACUACCAGCUGCGAGGCGAAGGAGAGGGGUGCUACAGGUGUUCUUUGACUGCCCAAGGGAAAAUUUCAACGACGGGGUGAGUAAAAUAAGGGUAGCAGGAGGGUAUACCUACCUACAGACGGUAUGCUGCGAGUAUGACGACGGUCACGGAAGGUAAAUUUAGGAAGCCCAAAGAAGAGCCGACGGAACCCUAGCUCGACGACAAAAGAAUGACUUCUAAUGAGGGGUGUGUGAGAGGUUAUACUUCUCAUGAAGGGUCCGUGCGAGGUUAGACUUCCGUGUCACUUCUCAAAGGACCACAGUGUUCGAAUGAGGUUUAUAGUGUAUAUGUUCACACAUUUCUGAUAGAUCGUGUACGAGUAGCCACGAAGGCAGCCUGACGCGUAGUACCCCAGCUUCGGAGGACUAGCUCCACGUACGAAGUUCUAUUUAGUUGGAACGCCAGUACCACUACAACUUCAGAGGGAAGUAGAGGUAGACUACGUAGUGUGUCGACCGAGAUGCCAAUAAUGCUACAAAAGACAAAGAGGUAGAGCGACGGUCGAACGUCGGAUUCGAAAUGUAUUACGUCUUCGUACGUAUCAACGCGUAGUCUCUUCCGUUUUCAUUAUUAUUAGUCUCCACGGAUCCAUAUGAUAGCACUUUCUGUUGGGUUUUAUUUAUCGUCAUACAACGUGUUUUAACAAGGCGACUCUUCUGAUUUUUCACUCAGAGAACUAAAUAUCCACUGGGAAAAUAAUAUCUUUUAGUCUAAUACACAUUUGGGUGCAAAAUAUAUUAAAAAGUUACCUUACGUGUUGUUAUCAAAGAUGAU
Molecule: ribosomal RNA, 1228 nt
Filed under: Triticum aestivum (bread wheat)
Lineage: Eukaryota; Viridiplantae; Streptophyta; Magnoliopsida; Poales; Poaceae
Description: partial small subunit ribosomal RNA
Source: RNAcentral